AGAGUUUGAUCCUGGCUCAGGAUGAACGCUGGCGGCGUGCUUAACACAUGCAAGUCGAACGAUGAUCCGGUGCUUGCACCGGGGAUUAGUGGCGAACGGGUGAGUAACACGUGAGUAACCUGCCCUUAACUCUGGGAUAAGCCUGGGAAACUGGGUCUAAUACCGGAUAUGACUCCUCAUCGCAUGGUGGGGGGUGGAAAGCUUUAUUGUGGUUUUGGAUGGACUCGCGGCCUAUCAGCUUGUUGGUGAGGUAAUGGCUCACCAAGGCGACGACGGGUAGCCGGCCUGAGAGGGUGACCGGCCACACUGGGACUGAGACACGGCCCAGACUCCUACGGGAGGCAGCAGUGGGGAAUAUUGCACAAUGGGCGCAAGCCUGAUGCAGCGACGCCGCGUGAGGGAUGACGGCCUUCGGGUUGUAAACCUCUUUCAGUAGGGAAGAAGCGAAAGUGACGGUACCUGCAGAAGAAGCGCCGGCUAACUACGUGCCAGCAGCCGCGGUA
Molecule: ribosomal RNA, 503 nt
Filed under: uncultured Actinomycetes bacterium
Lineage: Bacteria; Bacillati; Actinomycetota; Actinomycetes
Description: bacterial SSU rRNA
Rfam family: Bacterial small subunit ribosomal RNA
Source: RNAcentral